CGGCUUCGGGAGGGCACCGGGGUGCCGGGCGAUGCGCGGGGCGGGGGCGCGGUCGGGAGGGGAGCCUCGGCCUGGGCCCGGGCGCACGUCCAGAGGCAGCCGUAGCCGCCUGAACGUGUCUCUUCCCGAAACUCGCCCCUCCAGGAGUGGGUUCCGGUAACGGGGCGCUACCCAGCCUGGUGGGCGAGCGCAGGCCCCAUCACUAUCUGCGGGUGGAUCCGGAGCUACGGCGGAGGCCCCGCCGGGAGUAUCUGGCGAGCGCACCCGGGGCGGGCACGCCUCUCUGCUCCGUGGGCGGCGCCCUCCCUCUAGCCAGCAGUCCUACCGCCCAAUCCGUUAAGCGAAGUCGUCCGAAACAAAAACAAAAACUUCUGGGACACCUCUUAGGAGCUGAAUUUUGCCAACCCUUAGGAGAGACCAAAUGCUGUGGGUUGCCGGUUCAGAGCCUCCCAACUGAGAUGCUGUGAAUAAAAUACAGCUGUGCUCUGGUGUGAACACCCCUCCCCCCAUCCUUGGACCAGCUGAGCAAGGCUGAGGCAGCAUCCUCAGGCAAGCAUGAGACGCUGCAGGACCAGGCAGUACCUACACAUGCACGGCCCAGAAAUGUGGGAGAUUUAAUGUCUGAGAAGAAAGUUUGACAAGGGGAUAUAGAAGGAAGCAGCUGGCCAUUUGAGGAAACCCACAUGGUAAGGAACUACAAGCAGCCUCCAGAAGCUGAGGGCAACCUCCAGCCGACAGCCAGCAAGAAAUCAGAGCCCUCGGUCAUACAUCCAAAAGGACAUGAAUUCUGUUGACAACCACAUGAGUCUGGAAGCAGAUCCUUUCCCAGGUGAGCCUCCAUAUGAGAAAGCAGUCUUGUUCAACACCUUGAUUGCAGCCUUGCAAAGGAUAAGCUAAGUUGUUCCUGACCCAUGGGAACAGGGAGAUAAUAAAUGUGUGUUGCUUUAGGCUGUUAAGUUUGUGGCAAUAUUAUUAAGCAACAGUAGAUAACUAAUACAGAUUAUAAAACAGUACAACCACUUUGGGAGAUGGUUUGACAAUAUCUUAAAACAUUAAACAUACACCAACCAUGUGACCCAGAUAUUCCAUACUCAAGAGAAACAUUAGUUGGGGGUUCCCUGGUGGUCCAGUGGUUAGGACUUGGUGCUUUCACUGCCGGGGCCUGGGUUCAAUCCCUGGUCAGGGAACUAAGCCGCACGGUGUGGACAAAAAA
This is a non-coding RNA of Kogia breviceps (pygmy sperm whale), 1213 nucleotides long. Lineage: Eukaryota; Metazoa; Chordata; Mammalia; Artiodactyla; Physeteridae. The record is from RefSeq and is a predicted model, not a curated record.